This 463-nucleotide ribosomal RNA is filed under the name uncultured bacterium. RNAcentral's name for it is "bacterial SSU rRNA". It matches the Rfam family "Bacterial small subunit ribosomal RNA", at positions 335 to 784 of the family's 1533-position model. The record is from RNAcentral.
ACUCCUACGGGAGGCAGCAGUGGGAAUAUUGCACAAUGGGGAAGCCAUCGAUGCAGCCAUGCCGCGCUGUGUGAAGAAGGCCAAUUCGGGCUUUGGUUAAAGACACUUUUCAGUAGGGAGGAAGGUAGUGUAGUUAACACCUGCAUUAUUUGACGUUACCUACAGAAGAAGCACCGGCUAACUCCGUGCCAGCAGCCGCGGUAAUACGGAGGGUGCGAGCGUUAAUCGGAAUUACUGGGCGUAAAGCGCGCGUAGGCGGACUGGAAAGUUGGGAGUGAAAUCCCAGGGCUCAACCCUGGAACGGCCUCCAAAACUCCAGUCUGGAGUUCGAGAGAGGUGAGUGGAAUUCCGAGUGUAGAGGUGAAAUUCGUAGAUAUUCGGAGGAACACCAGUGGCGAAGGCGGCUCACUGGCUCGAUACUGACGCUGAGGUGCGAAAGUGUGGGAGCAAACAGGAUUAGAUA